RNAcentral lists this ribosomal RNA (474 nucleotides) under uncultured bacterium. RNAcentral's name for it is "bacterial SSU rRNA". It matches the Rfam family "Bacterial small subunit ribosomal RNA", at positions 39 to 507 of the family's 1533-position model. The record is from RNAcentral.
AGCGGCAGGCUUAACACAUGCAAGUCGAGGGGCAGCACGGGUAGCAAUACCUGGUGGCGACCGGCGCAAGGGUGCGUAACGCGUGAGCAACAUGCCCUAUACAGGGGGAUAAUCCAGGGAAACUUGGUCUAAUAUCCCAUAGUAUUUAGAGGAGGCAUCUUCUAUAAAUUAAAGCUUCGGUGGUAUAGGAUUGGCUCGCGUGACAUUAGCUAGAUGGUGAGGUAACGGCUCACCAUGGCAAUGAUGUCUAGGGGUUCUGAGAGGAAGGCCCCCCACACUGGGACUGAGACACGGCCCAGACUCCUACGGGAGGCAGCAGUGAGGAAUAUUGGACAAUGGAUGGAAAUCUGAUCCAGCCAUGCCGCGUGCAGGAAGACAGCCCUAUGGGUUGUAAACUGCUUUUAUAUGGGAGCAAUAAGGUCUACGUGUAGACUGAUGAGAGUACCAUACGAAUAAGCAUCGGCUAACUCCGUG